GAUGAACGCUGGCGGCGUGCUUAACACAUGCAAGUCGAACGAAGCACCUUAUUCUGAUUUCUUCGGAAUGAAAAAUUUGGUGACUGAGUGGCGGACGGGUGAGUAACGCGUGGGUAACCUGCCUCAUACAGGGGGAUAACAGUGAGAAAUCACUGCUAAUACCGCAUAAGCCCACAGCACCGCAUGGGUCAAGGGGAAAAGCUCCGGUGGUAUGAGAUGGACCCGCGUCUGAUUAGGUAGUUGGUGGGGUAACGGCCUACCAAGCCGACGAUCAGUAGCCGACCUGAGAGGGUGACCGGCCACAUUGGGACUGAGACACGGCCCAAACUCCUACGGGAGGCGGCAGUGGGGAAUAUUGCACAAUGGGGGAAACCCUGAUGCAGCGACGCCGCGUGAGCGAUGAAGUAUUUCGGUAUGUAAAGCUCUAUCAGCAGGGAAGAAAAUGACGGUACCUGACUAAGAAGCACCGGCUAAAUACGUGCCAGCCGCCGCGGUAA
This 497-nucleotide ribosomal RNA is filed under the name uncultured bacterium. Its description in RNAcentral is "partial 16S ribosomal RNA". It matches the Rfam family "Bacterial small subunit ribosomal RNA", at positions 28 to 523 of the family's 1533-position model. The record is from RNAcentral.